Macrosteles quadrilineatus (aster leafhopper) is the source of this 70-nucleotide non-coding RNA. The record is from the annotation of a RefSeq genome assembly. Lineage: Eukaryota; Metazoa; Arthropoda; Insecta; Hemiptera; Cicadellidae.
UAAUAGAUAUAAAUAUAAAAUUUACUUAAUCAAAUUCUAAAUUUAACACACUAAUCUGCCAAUCUAUUUU